Long non-coding RNA from Sinocyclocheilus anshuiensis, 323 nucleotides. RefSeq lists it as uncharacterized. The transcript is spliced from 3 exons. The record is from RefSeq and is a predicted model, not a curated record. NCBI's taxonomy places the organism in Eukaryota, Metazoa, Chordata, Actinopteri, Cypriniformes, Cyprinidae.
UCCAUUCAGUUUGACUCGGGACAUAUGGAUAUUGCUGAAAGUUGCACACAGGCAUCUGCGUGUGUGCUCAGGGGUCCUAAUUAUCUUGGGUAAAUGUCUGUUUUCUUUUUUCCAGGAGGGAAACUUCGAUAGAUUUUUUGCUUGGAGUUUGCCUUGAAUUCCCAAUUAAACGGUUCUUGGUCUAGAGUACAGUACUCGUCUUCACUGAAAAGAUUUUCAAUCAUUUUGUGGGCCACAAGUCAUGUCUGGUAUAGCAUUAAGUCGUCUCGCACAAGAACGGAAGGCUUGGCGGAAAGACCAUCCUUUUGUAAUCGUAGCUGUAA